This 445-nucleotide ribosomal RNA is filed under the name uncultured bacterium. Its description in RNAcentral is "partial 16S ribosomal RNA". It matches the Rfam family "Bacterial small subunit ribosomal RNA", at positions 354 to 796 of the family's 1533-position model. The record is from RNAcentral.
GUGAGGAAUAUUGGACAAUGGGCGCAAGCCUGAUCCAGCCAUGCCGCGUGCAGGAAGACGCAUCUAUGGUGUGUAAACUGCUUUUGUACGGGAAGAAACACUCCCUCGUGAGGGAGCUUGACGGUACCGUAAGAAUAAGGAUCGGCUAACUCCGUGCCAGCAGCCGCGGUAAUACGGAGGAUCCAAUCGUUAUCCGGAAUCAUUGGGUUUAAAGGGUCCGUAGGCGGUUUAAUAAGUCAGUGGUGAAAGCCCAUCGCUCAACGAUGGAACGGCCAUUGAUACUGUUAGACUUGAAUUACAAGGAAGUAACUAGAAUAUGUAGUGUAGCGGUGAAAUGCUUAGAUAUUACAUGGAAUACCAAUUGCGAAGGCAGGUUACUACUUGUGGAUUGACGCUGAUGGACGAAAGCGUGGGGAGCGAACAGGAUUAGAAACCCUUGUAGUCC